CCCAUAACGAGCGCAACCCCUAUCAUUAGUUGCCAUCAGGUCAAGCUGGGGACUCUAAUGAAACUGCCUACGCAAGUAGUGAGGAAGGUGGGAUGACGUCAAAUCAGCACGGCCCUUACGUCCAGGGCUACACACGUGCUACAAUGGCCGGUACAAAGGGCAGCUACCUGGUGACAGGAUGCUAAUCUCAAAAGCCGGUCUCAGUUCGGAUUGAAGUCUGCAACUCGACUUCAUGAAGCUGGAAUCGCUAGUAAUCGUGGAUCAGCCAAGCCGCGGUGAAUACGUUCCCGGGCCUU
RNAcentral lists this ribosomal RNA (296 nucleotides) under uncultured Sphingobacteriales bacterium. RNAcentral describes it as "partial 16S ribosomal RNA". It matches the Rfam family "Bacterial small subunit ribosomal RNA", at positions 1086 to 1382 of the family's 1533-position model. Lineage: Bacteria; Pseudomonadati; Bacteroidota; Sphingobacteriia; Sphingobacteriales. The record is from RNAcentral.